GGGGAUAUGAGCAUCUUGAUACAAAGAAACCUUACAACCUUGUCUCUGUGAGUAAUAUGUAUAGGGAACUCCAGGAAAUUUACGACUUCUUAUACCACGACCCCAGUUGCGAUCUUUAGUAACACUGAAGUAUUGAAGCUUUACAUGAAUCUUUGAUUCUCCUUCAAUUGGAUUUUUCUCUUCAUCUAAGAUUGGAACCCAUCUGUCAACUUCCUCCCCAUCCAAGAUGUCUUCCACAGGUACAUAUGCACGUCCAAUCAAAGUUGCACCAAUGGGAUUAUCAUCCUUCACGGUGAAGAUAACAUUUGAUGCCUUAUGGGCACAGUAAAUGUGAAAAGAUUCAUACCAUCUUGGAUUAGAGGGUUCAGUUUCCAAUAUUCGUG
This 383-nucleotide unclassified non-coding RNA is filed under the name Hevea brasiliensis (rubber tree). The record is from RNAcentral. Lineage: Eukaryota; Viridiplantae; Streptophyta; Magnoliopsida; Malpighiales; Euphorbiaceae.